CGGCAACAGCUCAAAUUUGAAAUCUGGCUCUCGGGCCCGAGUUGUAAUUUGUAGAGGAUACUUUUGAUGCGGUGCCUUCCGAGUUCCCUGGAACGGGACGCCAUAGAGGGUGAGAAUCCCGUC
RNAcentral lists this ribosomal RNA (123 nucleotides) under Fusarium sp. Its description in RNAcentral is "partial large subunit ribosomal RNA". The record is from RNAcentral. Lineage: Eukaryota; Fungi; Ascomycota; Sordariomycetes; Hypocreales; Nectriaceae.